Molecule: long non-coding RNA, 1374 nt
Filed under: Mus musculus (house mouse)
Lineage: Eukaryota; Metazoa; Chordata; Mammalia; Rodentia; Muridae
Description: long non-coding RNA chr3:45400625-45401999
Source: RNAcentral
UCAUAUUUGACAGAGGAAUACAUUUGAUCAGCUCCUCUCUCAUUUGCAGCCACUAACAGGACACGUUGCUAGACAAGAAACUGAUAGGCGAUGCUGAUAGUUUUAGUCUGUCCAUUUGCUAUUUAAGUUCAGUCUUAUUUGUUUUUUAAGCAACAGUUCAGAAUGCCCAAGAAUAACAGCAAACUAACUAUGACAAUGUAGGCAAACUGCAUUUCUAUUUUCAGUCUUGUGUUUUGCAACAAGGCAGUUAGUUAAUUUAGUUAGUACAGCCUUUCUUUUUAAUGUUGAUAUUUGCCCAAGACGUACAUUAGGUUGUCAUAAGUCUUGUGUUGAGUACUUAAAUGUUACAUGUUUUAUACACUGGAAAACUAAAGUUAACUUCAGCUUAUCAGUACCUAUUUUAAGUUUCAUGUAUAUGUUAGUGGCUAUAUUUGGGAUGAAAGUUAGAUACUACUUUAUUCUACAGAACCAUAUGUAUAAGACAACGUUUUGCUUUGUAGCUUAGGUUAGUGCCUAAUUCAUGUUCUUCCCACUUCAGUAACCUCAUACUGAAAUGACAGGCCUGUUUCACCAGAUAGAAUCUACAAAGUUGUGUUUGUUUUUACAGAUGGCCAUGGAGUAUAUUUCAAGUUGACCUCUAACUCACAACUCCCCCGCACCUCCCCCCUCAAAGAGAACCCUUUCUUCUGAAAAAAAAAACAAAAAAACAAAAAAAACCUCUUUUUUAUAAAUAUUUUGUCAUGGUACUUAUAAACAUUUUAUAGUUCACUGUGGGCAAAAUCAUCUAUGUAUAGAAGUAAUGUAUAAGAAGUAAAAUCAAUUACAGAUGUGUUUGCACCCUGAUUCUUUUCUGAUCUCUAAGCAAAGAUGCAACUGUGUUGCUUUUUGAAGUACCAUUCAUCAUAAGACCAGGAGUCCAUUAUGACAUAAAUAAACUAAAUAGAUAUAACAAAGACAUCUUGAUGGUAUAGACUAUCGAAUUUUUACGCUAAAAGUGUUUCACAGGAAGGCUUGUGGGAGACAGUCCACAAAUGUGAGACUUAAACGUGAUCGUCUUUCAGUUGCUGUAUAUCUUAAGUCUAAAAAAUUAUGUGGAAAAUGGUAAGGUGAUCUGAAAUGAAUGCAGAACUCUAACGGUGCAACUUUGAGAUUUAUUACAUAUAAAUUUAUAUUAUAAAUUAUACAUGAAAUGAUUAUGUUCAAGGUAAACAUAAGUAUUUGUCUAUUUGUUAUUGAUUUAACUCAGUCUUUCUAGUAAAAGCAGUGGUCAGAAAUCUAUUAUGUAACAGCCAUUGUCUUCUAUUAAGUUAUAUUUUACAUCUGUUUAGCCAUAUCAAAGUAUAAAGAAAUUAUAUACUAAAUAUUCUGCUUUCC